UCCCAACACGUCUCAAUAUCUUUCUUUCGAAAACUUCUAUUUCCGUUGCCACUGUUGGGGAAAUAGAGAACCAUAUUGGAAAUCCAUACACGAGAACGGAGCGUAUUGCAACUUUGUAAAGAAGCAUCUUAGUUUUCUGAGGGUAUUUCGUCCAAGUAGAUUAAAUUUAUGUAGCUUAUUAAAUGUGAUGCCAAGAUAUUUUAUACUCGAUUUGAAGGGGAUUUCUAUUCCAUCUAAAACAAGUUGAAGCUGUUUACUUUGGGCAUUUUUCGGAAGCAUUUUUUAUGCAAAUGGCUUCGGACUUGGCUGCGUUGAUCUUUAUUCCCCAUUUCUUACAAAAUUGGUUUAUCACUUCCAGAAAGGGGAAAUUUUCCGUUGCUGACCGUUAUUUUUUGUUUGUGUCUGACGAUGGUAAUGUAUGCUGUACUAAGGAGUCGAAAUCUGCUCGAAAAUUGUCCCAAUUGUUUCAGUGCUAGUUUUAAUGGAAAAUGAUCGGAGAAUGUUGGUAGAGAAGAGAUUCUGAAGUUGGGAGAAAAGAAGUCAACUAAAUUUGGACUGAUUAGGAAAUAGUCUAGAUAUGAUGGACCAUUCGGAGUCUCACCAAGAAGGACUUCUCGAGUUGAAAUCACCACCCAGGAUAAAACCAUAGAAAUUUGAACAUAGACGCAGUAUUUUUUCCAAAUCUGACUCCAGCUACAGUGAAGGAUAGUUGCAAGGAAUAUAUAUGGAUCCCAGGGCAUAUAUUUUGGACAAACCAUUAUGUUUUGCUACUAUUUGUAUUAUGUAGAUAUUGACUCUCACGUCAUUUGUAACAAUUCUAGUAUAAUGGAUCGAUCUUUUAAUAAAUAUGGCGACUCCAACAUUUGAGUGAUCAAAAAUAGCAUUAUA
Musca domestica (house fly) is the source of this 888-nucleotide long non-coding RNA. RefSeq lists it as uncharacterized. The record is from RefSeq and is a predicted model, not a curated record. The transcript has 6 exons. Lineage: Eukaryota; Metazoa; Arthropoda; Insecta; Diptera; Muscidae.